UUGAAUGAUUUAAUUUAAUUAAUAAUGGUGAAUGUUGUGGCAUUUUGAGGUAUGGAUUAUUAUUUGUGUCCUUUCAUCUGCUGCUGUGCGGUGUGAUCUGAUUUAUUUGUACUACAAAUAAAACACUCAGCCUGCAAAAGCUCAUCAGCUAUGUGUUUAUGUCUGUACCAUGCUGGAACUUUGUUGUGUACCAUUUACUCAUUGCUUUUACUUCAUGGAUAUUUGGG
Molecule: long non-coding RNA, 227 nt
Filed under: Arachis ipaensis
Lineage: Eukaryota; Viridiplantae; Streptophyta; Magnoliopsida; Fabales; Fabaceae
Description: long non-coding RNA (AIPA_LNC001683)
Source: RNAcentral